This 331-nucleotide ribosomal RNA is filed under the name Escherichia coli. RNAcentral describes it as "bacterial SSU rRNA". It matches the Rfam family "Bacterial small subunit ribosomal RNA", at positions 61 to 388 of the family's 1533-position model. The record is from RNAcentral. Lineage: Bacteria; Pseudomonadati; Pseudomonadota; Gammaproteobacteria; Enterobacterales; Enterobacteriaceae.
GUCGAACGGUAACAGGAAGCAGCUUGCUGCUUCGCUGACGAGUGGCGGACGGGUGAGUAAUGUCUGGGAAACUGCCUGAUGGAGGGGGAUAACUACUGGAAACGGUAGCUAAUACCGCAUAACGUCGAAAGACCAAAGAGGGGGACCUUCGGGCCUCUUGCCAUCGGAUGUGCCCAGAUGGGAUUAGCUUGUUGGUGGGGUAAUGGCUCACCAAGGCGACGAUCCCUAGCUGGUCUGAGAGGAUGACCAGCCACACUGGAACUGAGACACGGUCCAGACUCCUACGGGAGGCAGCAGUGGGGAAUAUUGCACAAUGGGCGCAAGCCUGAUG